GGGGAUUUGUAGGCAUAAGGAGGAGGUGGGGAGUUCACUGGAGGCGGUGGAGACUUGUAAAUAUAGGGAGGAGGUGGGGAGUGGACUGGUGGUGGUGGAAACUUGUAAACAUAGGGAGGAGGUGGGGAGUGGACUGGAGGUGAUGGAGACUUGUAAACAUAGGGAGGAGGUGGAGAAUGGAUUGGAGGUGGUGGAGACUUGUAAACAUAGGGAGGAGGUGGGGAGUGAACCGGAGGUGGAGGAGACUUGUAGUUGUAAGGAGGAGGUGGAGAGUGGACUGGAGGUGGAGGAGACUUGUAAAUGUAGGGAGGAGGUGGUGAGUGGACUGGAGGUGGUGGAGACUUAUAAAUGUAGCGGGGAGGUGGAGAGUGGACUGGAGGUGGUGGAGACUUGUAGACAUAAGGAGGAGGUGGUGAAUGAACAGGUGGUGGUGGAAACUUGUAUACA
Molecule: long non-coding RNA, 447 nt
Organism: Hibiscus syriacus
Lineage: Eukaryota; Viridiplantae; Streptophyta; Magnoliopsida; Malvales; Malvaceae
Exons: 5
Source: RefSeq, a predicted model, not a curated record